AAGAGACCAAAAUGACACAGACAUUAACAACUAUAGGUCACCGUACGGCCUUCAACAAUGAGCAAAGCCCAUACCGCAUAGUAAGCUAUAAAAGGCCCCGAUAAGACAAUGUUAAACAAUUCAAACGAGAAAACUAACGGCCUUAUUUAUAAAAAAAAAAAAAAUGAACGAAAAACAAAUAUGUAACACAUAAACAAACGACAACCACA
Molecule: long non-coding RNA, 209 nt
Filed under: Mytilus galloprovincialis (Mediterranean mussel)
Lineage: Eukaryota; Metazoa; Mollusca; Bivalvia; Mytilida; Mytilidae
Source: RNAcentral